This 291-nucleotide unclassified non-coding RNA is filed under the name rhizosphere metagenome. RNAcentral describes it as "partial ribosomal RNA internal transcribed spacer region". The record is from RNAcentral.
GUAGGUGAACCUGCGGAAGGAUCAUUACAGAUCGAUGGGGUUGGGGAGAGUGGGUGGUGAGGGUGUUGGAGGUGAUGAUUGUGCAAUCUGAGGAUUGUAAUAGUCUGAGGAUUGUAUGACCAUGAGGUUGCAUGACCACAUCCCCUUUCCUUCCCUUCCCAUUCUCUCCCCUCCCACAUAUGUUCGGAGUCGCAAGGCUUCCGUAACACAUUCACGCUUGAUUUGUUUGUCAGAGUAAGAUACACACAACAGUAUACUAGACAACUUUUAACAAUGGAUCUCUUGGCUCUU